ACCUACUUAUCUCAGUGGUUUCAGUAUUUCCGAUCUACGGCGGGAGUCAUUGGUUCAAAUCCAAUAGUAGGUA
RNAcentral lists this transfer RNA (73 nucleotides) under Photinia serratifolia. RNAcentral's name for it is "tRNA-Met". It matches the Rfam family "tRNA". From Rfam's summary of the family: Transfer RNA (tRNA) molecules are approximately 80 nucleotides in length. Their secondary structure includes four short double-helical elements and three loops (D, anti-codon, and T loops). Lineage: Eukaryota; Viridiplantae; Streptophyta; Magnoliopsida; Rosales; Rosaceae. The record is from RNAcentral.